Molecule: ribosomal RNA, 104 nt
Filed under: Staphylococcus aureus
Lineage: Bacteria; Bacillati; Bacillota; Bacilli; Caryophanales; Staphylococcaceae
Also listed under: 2 other names
Description: partial 16S ribosomal RNA
Rfam family: Bacterial small subunit ribosomal RNA
Source: RNAcentral
UUUAUGGAGAGUUUGAUCCUGGCUCAGGAUGAACGCUGGCGGCGUGCCUAAUACAUGCAAGUCGAGCGAACGGACGAGAAGCUUGCUUCUCUGAUGUUAGCGGC